CCAUUUCCCUUUUCCCUUCUUGUUUCCCUGCCUAUAUAAGUAAGGCGCGAACCCACGCAACUGGGAGGCAGUGAAGUUUCGAACAAGCAAGUCUAGUUUCCUUGCCUGUGUGGCUCCCCUCGGUCGCAAGCCCCCGUCGCCCCGGUGGGGUUGGUCGGAGGACCCCGCUGCUCGUGGUUAAGAGCCCCGCCAUCUGUCCGUCGCGGCUUCUGCGCCGCCGCUGCCGCCAUCAACCGGUGCCGCAGUCCCUGUCUGUUGCCACCGGUCCGCCACUGUCGCCGCCUCCGCCGGCGCCCCUCCGCCGGCUGCAGUCCUCGCCAGCGCCCCUCCGCCGUCGGCAACCGCUGCCGGCGCCCCUCCGCCUCCUGCCGCCGCUGCAGCCGUAACUGCCCCGUCGGGCUGGUAUUUCCCAAAUUAGGGCUUAAACGCCCUGGUUCGCGGGGUACUGGGCGCCAGAACCAGCCGGUUCGGAUCCACCCUCGCCGGACCGGCCUCGUCUGGGCCAGCCCAGGCCGGCUCCAGCCCCUUUGCCUGAACCGGUUCGAGCCGUCGACUGACCUGGUCCGCACCGUCUGUCCGAGCCAAGGCUCGGCCAGCCGCCCACGACCUGGUCAGCGGGAAACCUUAGUCAACGGUCACCAAUCACUUCUGUGCCCCAUGGCCUCUCUGGUGACUCUUUCCACAGCCAAUACAUUACACUCAUGUUACCUGUUCUUUUAAUAUGUUCUUGUGAUCGUCGCCAAGUAAUCUUAUAGGUUAGUCGCUUUUGAUAUUGAGUGAUCCCUUACCCUUGAUUUCGUCACAUCUGUUUUACUAGAUUUUGAGCAUCCUAUGGUUGGCCGUUUGCAUAAAUCGCUUGGUCCUCACCUGCUGUCUUAAUUGAGGAUGAUUUUUGAGCUGCUUAUGACUUCCGAAAUUUCCCCGUCUCGAGUUCUUUUGGACAUUACGUGUGAUUUCUGAUUUCGUUCAUUUGAUCAUCAUUAUGCCUCAUUUUUCAUUCCCAUCACCCGGUUUGAUAACAGGCUGGGAUUAAGUACGUUAACUUGGUACGAAUUCUAGUUGAUCAAACUUUCAGUUUGAUGACAACCUUAUUCCUCUGGUAGGUUGACCUAAGCUUUUAGGUAAGCAGCUGAACUGAAAAUAGUAAUUGGAUGGGUUUCAACCAUUCGUGCCUUUGGGUUGAAUAAGUUAAGAGAUUAUAUUCGAGUUCAUCCCAACCAGGCCUGGGACGUUUCUUCUUAACCGGCCAUCCGAACCAAUUAAACUCGGACAGCAGGGUCAUCUGGGAUAAAUUCAGAUUGCCUAGCAUGAUCGGGAUUCUAGCCAAUUGUCAUACUGCUACAUAUACCCAUGACCGUGCACCAAUUAUCAUACUUGGCUGUGGACACAAACAGUUCUCUGGAAGAUUGAAAUUUGAAGCCCUGCUUCCUUUCUAGCUGUUUGAGGACGGUGUGCUCGAUGUAGAGGACAGGACUGGAUGGAGGGAUAGAAGCACCCACUGCAGUGAUAUUGGGACAUUCGGAGGCAAGGGCUGAGGUCGACGCUUGUGCAGGAAACCAGUUGUUGUCGAAUGUGAGCUGCACAUCUGAGAAUUGGGAAAUCUCGACCACACUCAUCGUCCAGUGGAAUCCAGCCCAGAGGUGGAGGUGCUGACGUACUCAGCAAAAUACAAGGCAAAUGAGACAAAGCUACCUAACCUCAGCCAUUCCCAAUCUGCAGGGGAUGAUGUUGUCGACUAACUGAAUUAUCACCACUCUAGAGCACUGCUGCAGUCGGUUGAUGACGAGGUGUGAUGGCAUGCUGCGCUUCACGUUGGUGGUGCUGCUUUUGGCAGUUCUGCGGCAUUUUUUUGUAGCGGAGUUCUUCUGGCCCGGGUUGGGCAUCCACAGGUGGAUGCUGCAACCCACAGGGCAACAGCAGAGUUGCCCAAGAUGAGCUUGACAGUCCAUGGAUUCUGGAUUUCUGCUAGGAACGCAAAGAUUGGGUAGAGCGUGUCCUGGUUGUCCUUCAUUGGCUAGUUGUUGGUGAUGGCCUUCCAACCCCCAAUUCGGAGAAUCGAUUGGGCAAGGUGGCUGACAAAGGUCAGAUCCUUGGCGAUGAAUCCUCUCCACUCGGUGGCUAUCAUACACCAUAAGAUUGUACGAGCAUGAUCGCGUUUCAUUUUUUCCCUUCCAAAUAGAUAAUAGCUUAUAUCGUUGAUUUCCAAACUAUUUUUGGUCUCAUCAGCAGCAGCUAAGGGCGUCACUUUAAGGGUUAACAUAGAGAAGAAUGUGCUUAGGUUUUGUCUACCAUCUACCCACGGCAACGAAUGCCAUGCCGGUUAGUGAAGGGAGGGGUGAGUAGAGAAGACUGUUUAUCAUGCCCUUCAAUGGCCCAAUAAUGGGCAGGUCAAACUAGAAAAGAGAAUGGUUCAGUUAAACCGUUUUAGCUUGACGUAGUAAACGGUUUGCACGUUUUUGAGGAGUCACUGACACAUUUCAUGAGGCAGUUCAAUGAGAUCUAUAAAUAGAGGCCACCUCUUCUCAUUUUAUAGCACUAGUGACCAGAGGGUACUAGAGAGGUCAGGAGAGGGUUACCAAUGAAGUGAUCUUUACUUGUUGGUGAGGGACUAACAGAUUUUUUGAGGGCCAAGAUUAGUGAUAUGUAUUCUAGGUUUAAAAGAGUGAUUUUCUAUACUUCUAUAUCUAGUGAAGAUUUUUUUCACCAUUCAUGAACGUAGAAGAUUGACCUCUAAACUAUGUAAAUUAUUGUGUCUCUAGUUGUGAGUUGUUUAUUUCAUUUAUGUCUUUUAGCUUUUGUGCUAAGUUUAUAUUGGGUUUUUAUCUCUAACAAGUGAUAUUAGAGUUGUGAUUCUUGUUAAUGACUAUGGAGACAUGAGAUAUUUCUCGUAUGAUCAACUUGAAUGAGAAUAACUAGACAAUAUAAAAACUAAGAAUAAAAGGUCUAUUGCAUUGCAAUGACUUAUAUGAAGCCUUACAAGGAGAUAGUGCAAAGGUAGGGGCGACAUCAGUUGAUGAUUAGAAAAGGCUAGAUUUAAAGACUAUUGACUUCAUCAGACAAUGGCUUAAUAAUAAUAUUUUUCACCAUGUAUCUACUGACAACUUUACACAUUUUCUUUGGAAGAAGCUAUAAAGUUUUUAUGAGAGAAAGAUGGUAGGUAACAAGGCAUUAUUGAUUAAGAAGCCUAUGAAUCUGAAGUACAAGAAGAGAUCUUUUAUUAUUGAGCAUUUAAAUGAAAUACAUAGUAUUAUUAACUAGUUGACCUCUAUGAAUAUAUGUUUUAAUGAUGAGUUGUUGACUUUGUUAUUUCUUAGUUUGUUGCCAUAUAGUUGUGAGAUGUUGGUGGUGUAUCUCAUCAAUUUUACCAGAUGAUAUUUUCACUAUGAGCCAAGUAACAAAUAUCUUACUCAAUAAAGAGUUGAGACCAGAAAAACUUUACUAAUUCUUAUAGUGAGGCACAAACAUUUGUCACAUAAAAUAGAGGGUGGUCAAAGUCAAGAGAUAAGAGUCACUCCAAAGGUAGAAACAAGUCAAGAUCAAGGAAAGAGAUCACUUGCUACAACUGUGGUGAAAAAAGACACUUCAAGAAUAAGUGCAAGUAGCCCAAGAAAAAUAAAAAAAAAAGUAGACAAUGAAGAUUCAAAAGGGAACACCAUGGCCACUAUUUAAACUGGUGAUUAUUUGAUUUUGUCUAUUGCUAAUGAUAUUUUUCUUGUGUUGGUAAAGAUUCAUAAUGAAUCAUUGAUAUAGGAGUCUCGUAUCAUGUAGUACCAAGAAAGGAGUCCUUUGCCAACUACAAAGCUAGAAAUUUGGGUGUUGUUAAGAUGAGCAACAAAAAGACAUCAAACAUCAAUGGUAUCAGUGAUGUCCACAUCAAGACCAAUUUUGGCUAUGAAUUGGUGCUAAAAAAUGUGAGACAUGUGACAAGUUUAAGAUUGAAUUUAAUUUUAGUUAGAAUGCUUGAUGAUGAUGACUUUUAUGACAAGUUUAGUGCAUGCAAUUGAAAGAUUACUAAGGGUUCACUUAUUAUAGCUUUUGGAAAGAAUUAUAAUACCUUAUACAGAAUGCAAGUUGCUGGUUGUAGCGAUCAGAUAAAUGUUACAAAAAAAGAUUAUAGUAUUAAAUUGUGACAUAAAUGACUAUGACAUAUGAUGAGAAGGGAUUACAAGCCCUCUCAAGAAAGGAAGUCUUACCCAAGUUCAAAAAUAUUUGUUUGAACCCAUACAUUGAUUGUUUGGCAGACAAAUGACAUUGAGUUUCUUUUUCUAGUCUACUUUUGUUUAAAAAAUUACAUAUUUUUGGAGUGAGUCUAUAUAGAUGUGUGGUCUAUUGAGGACAAAGACUGCUGGUGGUGUUAUUAAUGUUUAUGGCAUUAAUAAUGUAUUAUAUUUUAUCACUUUCAUUAAUGAUAAUUCCAAGAAAGUUUGGGUGUAUCUUUUGAAGACUAAAGACCAAGUUGUUGAUGUCUUUAAAGAAUUUCAUGUUAAAGUGGAGAGGGAGACUGAUAGAAAGUUGAAAUACAUAAGAUUUGAUAAUGGUAAUGAAUACAUGUGCUUGUUUGAUGAAUAUUAUAAAAAAUAAGAUAUUAUUCAUGAGAUGAUAGUUUCAAACACUCCUUAGCACAAUGUAGUUGCAGAGAUGAUGAAUUGCAUAAUUAUGGAAAAUAUCAGGAGUAUGCUUUCACAUGUCAAAUUACUUAAAAGGUUUUGGGAUGAGGCAUUGAAGACAACUAUUGAUCUCAUUAAUUUAUAUCUAUGUAUGUCUUUAGAUGAAAAUAUUGCACAUAAUGUAUGUACAAAAAAAAAUAUUUCCUACAAGUACUUGAGAGUGUUUGUUUGUCGUACAUUCGCGCAUGUUCUUGAUAUGGAAAGGUUUAAAUUGAAUGGGAAGAUAAAAGAGUGUAUUUUUCUUGGAUACCUAUGUGACGAGUUUGGUUACAGAUUAUGAGAUCAAAUGAAGCAAAAGGUGUUCCAAAGUCGAUAUGUAAGCUUCUUUGAAGAUUAUAAUAUUGAAUAUAUAAAGAAGGUUGUAGUGGUAAAAAAUUUUGCAAAAGUAUUUGAAGAUUAUGACCAAGUCGUCCAUCAUGAGUACCAUGAUGGAUGGGGAGAAGUGUAAGAAGAAAGGGUUGAAGAUGAUGUAAAUUUAUCUACAAGAUAAAAAGAGGACUAAGGAAGAGAGCUACCUCUAGCAUAGCCUCAUCUUAUAAGGUCUAGUAGAUAGUAUCAACCUAUGCGAAUGUAUCCACAAGAAGAGUAUAUUAUAUUUCGUGAAUCCAGUUAAACCACAAAAUUACUACGGCAUUAAAAAGUAAGCAUAUUAAAACAUGAUUGGUAGUUACAUAUGAAGAAAUAAAAGUAUUGUAAAAAAUUAGAUAUAUGAUCUUGUGGAGUUAAGGAGAAGAAAGCAUUAAAGAAUAAGUGGAUUUUCAAGUUGAAGACCCAAGAAUAUACUUUAGUGCUAAAAUAUAAGGCUAGAUUGGUUGUCAAAGGCCUCAAUCAAGUGUAAGGUAUAGACUUUGAUGAAAUAUUAUCUCAUGUUGUGAAAAUAUCUUUUAUUUGUGUUGCUUUAAGUAUGAUUGUUAGUAUGAACUUGAAGGUCAAACAACUAAAUGUAAAGAUAACAUUUUUUCAUAGUGUUUUAGAGAAGGAGAUUUACAUUGAACAACUAGAAGGCUUCAGGAUAUAAGGAAAAGAAUAUAUGGUGUGUAAAUUGAUGAAGAGCUUAUAUAGACUAAAACAAGUGCCAAGACAAUGGUACAAAAAGUUUGAUUUAUUUAUGAUUGGAAAUGGUUACAAACGUACUUCUACAAACUAUUAUGUAUACAUCAAAAAGUUUGAUCAGAGUUUUGUGAUUAUCUUAUUAUAUGUUGAUGAUAUGCUUAUCUUUAAGAAAGAUUUACCAACAAUCAAUAAGUUGAAGGAGUUAAAUAAGUCAUUUGCUAUUAUGUAUAUGGGGCCAACAAAGUAGAUACUUAGUAUGUAGAUCUUUCGUGACAGAAAGACCAAAAAUAUUUAGUUGUCAUAAGAAAAAUAUGUAGAAAAGAUACUAAAUAGGUUUGGUAUGAGUUAUAUAAAACUUAUUGAUUCUACUUUGACAAAUCACUUUAAACUUUAUGUACAACAAAGUCCGUUAAGUGAUGAGGCGAAUGAGAAGAUGAAGAAAGUAUUUUAUGCAUUAGUCGUUGAGAGUUUGAUACAUGCAAUAGUAUGUAGAAGACCAUACAUCAUAUAUGUAGUGGGUGUUGUUAGUAGAUUUCUUACAAAUCUAAGAAAGGAGCAUUGGGCAGCAGUCUAGGUUGUCUAAGUUAUCUUAAAAAGAAUAUUUAGAUACCUUAAAAGGAACUCUAAAAUUUGUCUAAGCUUUAGAGAUUGUGCUCCUAUAUUAGCAAGUUAUAUAAAUAUUGACAUAACCAGAGAUGUUGACACACAAAAGUUUACUUCAUGCUAUGUGAUUACUUUUGCAAAGAGAGUUGUGUCAUGCCAGUUCAAGUUGUAAAAAUAUGUUGUUUUGUCAACUAUAGAAGUUGAAUAUAAUAUUGUCACAGAAGUUUGUAAAGAAAUGUUAUGGAUGAAAGAAUUAUCAUAAGAAUUAAAACUAAUGUAAGAAGAAUAUGUAAUCUUUUGUGAUAGUCAAAAUACUAUUCAUUUAAGUAAAAAUCUUACAUUUUGUUCGAAGACAGCAUAUCGAUGUGUGUUACCAUUGGAUUAGAAAUGCAAUCAAAAAGAAAUAUUUAUAGAUCAAGAAAAUUCACACAAAAGACAAUGGAGCAAAUAUGUUGAUGAAAAUUAUGUCAAAAGAGAGGCAAGAGAUUUGUUGAAAACUAAUCGACAUGCACGCUCCUUGAGAAGUACGAUGACGAUCUCUCUCAUGAGUCGAGGGAGGAGGUUGUUGGGCACGUGGCUCAUAAAGUGGCCAUGUCCAUGUCAACUCAUAGGGUAGCAGAGAAGAUCACAUUUAAUGCAGAGAAGGAGGAGAGGGAGAGAAGAUGAGACAUUUGAAAUGGGCCAAGAUGUAGAUUGUUUUUCUAGCCCCUCAACAGUUUGAUAAUGGGCAAGUCAAACUAGAAAGGAGAACAGUUCAAUUGAAUCAUUUUAGUUUCACAGAGUAAAUGAUUUGUACAUUUCUUGAGAAGUCAUUGACACAUUUCUCGAUGCAACUUAACAAGGUCUAUAAAUAGAGGCCACCUCUUCUCAUUUUAUAGCACUAGUGACCAAAGGGUACUAGAGAGGGUUUUUAAUAGAGUGAUCUUUACUUGUUGGUGAGGGAUUAACAAAUCCUUCAAGGGCCAAAAUUAGAAACCUAUAUUCUAAGUUUUAAGAAGUGAUUUUUUAUACUUCUAUUAUAUUUAGUGAAGAUUUUCAUUGCCAUCUGUAGACAUAGAAGGCCAACCUCUAAAUUACGUAAAUUCUUAUGUCUCAAGUUGUGAAUUAUUCAUUUCAUUUGUCUUUUAAUUUUCACGCCAAGUCCAUAUUAGGUUUUUAUCUCUAACAUAAGGAUCUUAGCAUUUUUCAUGCACAACUUUGCCUUGAUGUAGAUCACUUUUUACUUCUACCACUGCUGCUCACGAGGGACACAAGAGCCAGAGCUUCCCUCAAUACUCUUGUGGGUCCCACUAUCAUCCAUCACCACCAUGGCAUCAACAAGGAUGCCCUUGCCGACAGUCAGACAUCAGCUUUCUGUCCAAAGUUAGCACCCAUGAUGGGAAGUUGUCACAGGAUAGCAGCUUCCGCCCGCCCCCGCUCUCAAAACUAUGUCCAGUCAGCCCUCCUCGGGAGCUCGACGGGCUUGACAAGGGCAAGUGAGUUGCUGACAAGAUGAGUCAGUAUCUCGCAUCAC
Molecule: long non-coding RNA, 7836 nt
Filed under: Spirodela polyrhiza (greater duckweed)
Lineage: Eukaryota; Viridiplantae; Streptophyta; Magnoliopsida; Alismatales; Araceae
Description: long non-coding RNA (SPOL_LNC000053)
Source: RNAcentral